UGUGAGGCAUGCUGGAGGUAUCAGAAGUGCGAAUGCUGACAUAAGUAACGAUAAAGCGGGUGAAAAGCCCGCUCGCCGGAAGACCAAGGGUUCCUGUCCAACGUUAAUCGGGGCAGGGUGAGUCGACCCCUAAGGCGAGGCCGAAAGGCGUAGUCGAUGGGAAACAGGUUAAUAUUCCUGUACUUGGUGUUACUGCGAAGGGGGGACGGAGAAGGCUAUGUUGGCCGGGCGACGGUUGUCCCGGUUUAAGCGUGUAGGCUGGUUUUCCAGGCAAAUCCGGAAAACUAAGGCUGAGGCGUGAUGACGAGGCACUACGGUGCUGAAGCAACAAAUGCCCUGCUUCCAGGAAAAGCCUCUAAGCAUCAGGUAACAUCAAAUCGUACCCCAAACCGACACAGGUGGUCAGGUAGAGAAUACCAAGGCGCUUGAGAGAACUCGGGUGAAGGAACUAGGCAAAAUGGUGCCGUAACUUCGGGAGAAGGCACGCUGAUAUGUAGGUGAAGUCCCUCGCGGAUGGAGCUGAAAUCAGUCGAAGAUACCAGCUGGCUGCAACUGUUUAUUAAAAACACAGCACUGUGCAAACACGAAAGUGGACGUAUACGGUGUGACGCCUGCCCGGUGCCGGAAGGUUAAUUGAUGGGGUCAGCGCAAGCGAAGCUCUUGAUCGAAGCCCCGGUAAACGGCGGCCGUAACUAUAACGGUCCUAAGGUAGCGAAAUUCCUUGUCGGGUAAGUUCCGACCUGCACGAAUGGCGUAAUGAUGGCCAGGCUGUCUCCACCCGAGACUCAGUGAAAUUGAACUCGCUGUGAAGAUGCAGUGUACCCGCGGCAAGACGGAAAGACCCCGUGAACCUUUACUAUAGCUUGACACUGAACAUUGAGCCUUGAUGUGUAGGAUAGGUGGGAGGCUUUGAAGUGUGGACGCCAGUCUGCAUGGAGCCGACCUUGAAAUACCACCCUUUAAUGUUUGAUGUUCUAACGUUGACCCGUAAUCCGGGUUGCGGACAGUGUCUGGUGGGUAGUUUGACUGGGGCGGUCUCCUCCUAAAGAGUAACGGAGGAGCACGAAGGUUGGCUAAUCCUGGUCGGACAUCAGGAGGUUAGUGCAAUGGCAUAAGCCAGCUUGACUGCGAGCGUGACGGCGCGAGCAGGUGCGAAAGCAGGUCAUAGUGAUCCGGUGGUUCUGAAUGGAAGGGCCAUCGCUCAACGGAUAAAAGGUACUCCGGGGAUAACAGGCUGAUACCGCCCAAGAGUUCAUAUCGACGGCGGUGUUUGGCACCUCGAUGUCGGCUCAUCACAUCCUGGGGCUGAAGUAGGUCCCAAGGGUAUGGCUGUUCGCCAUUUAAAGUGGUACGCGAGCUGGGUUUAGAACGUCGUGAGACAGUUCGGUCCCUAUCUGCCGUGGGCGCUGGAGAACUGAGGGGGGCUGCUCCUAGUACGAGAGGACCGGAGUGGACGCAUCACUGGUGUUCGGGUUGUCAUGCCAAUGGCACUGCCCGGUAGCUAAAUGCGGAAGAGAUAAGUGCUGAAAGCAUCUAAGCACGAAACUUGCCCCGAGAUGAGUUCUCCCUGACUCCUUGAGAGUCCUGAAGGAACGUUGAAG
This 1601-nucleotide ribosomal RNA is filed under the name Escherichia coli. RNAcentral describes it as "partial 23S ribosomal RNA". It matches the Rfam family "Bacterial large subunit ribosomal RNA", at positions 1262 to 2843 of the family's 2925-position model. The record is from RNAcentral. Lineage: Bacteria; Pseudomonadati; Pseudomonadota; Gammaproteobacteria; Enterobacterales; Enterobacteriaceae.